GACGAACGCUGGCGGCGUGCUUAACACAUGCAAGUCGUACGGUAAGGCCCUUUCGGGGGUACCCGAGUGGCGAACGGGGGCGUAAGACGUGAGUAACCUGCCCACAACUUUGGGAUAACGCUAGGAAACUGGUGCAAAUACUGCAAAUAUCCUCCUGCUGCAUGGUGGGGGUUGGAAAGCUCCGGCGGUUUUGGGUGGACUCGCGGCCUAUCGGCUUGUUGGUGGGGUAGUGGCGUACCAAGGCGGCAACGGGUAGCCGGCCUGUGAGGGUGAGAGGCCACAUUGGGUCUGAGGGACGGCCCAGACUCCGACGGGAGGCAGCAGUGGGGAAUAUUGCACAAGGGGCGCAAGCCUGAUGCAGCAACGCCGCGUGCGGGAUGACGGCCUUCUGGUUGAAAACCGCUUUCAGCAGGGACGAAGCUUUUUGUGACGGUACCUGCAGAAGAAGCACCGGCUAACUACGUG
This 465-nucleotide ribosomal RNA is filed under the name uncultured bacterium. RNAcentral describes it as "partial 16S ribosomal RNA". It matches the Rfam family "Bacterial small subunit ribosomal RNA", at positions 28 to 507 of the family's 1533-position model. The record is from RNAcentral.